UACGUAGGGUGCGAGCGUUGUCCGGAAUUAUUGGGCGUAAAGGGCUCGUAGGCGGUUUGUCGCGUCGGGAGUGAAAACACACAGCUUAACUGUGUGCUUGCUUCCGAUACGGGCAGACUAGAGGUAUGCAGGGGAGAACGGAAUUCCUGGUGUAGCGGUGAAAUGCGCAGAUAUCAGGAGGAACACCGAUGGCGAAGGCAGGUCUCUGGGCAUUAACUGACGCUGAGGAGCGAAAGCAUGGGGAGCGAACAGG
RNAcentral lists this ribosomal RNA (253 nucleotides) under uncultured bacterium. RNAcentral's name for it is "partial 16S ribosomal RNA". It matches the Rfam family "Bacterial small subunit ribosomal RNA", at positions 524 to 776 of the family's 1533-position model. The record is from RNAcentral.